RNAcentral lists this long non-coding RNA (1104 nucleotides) under Gallus gallus (chicken). Its description in RNAcentral is "lncRNA (ENSGALG00010026195.1)". Lineage: Eukaryota; Metazoa; Chordata; Aves; Galliformes; Phasianidae. The record is from RNAcentral.
UCAGUUGGUUUUCCAUCUGAAUAUUUUUGAUAUUUUCUUAGCAGCUCAUCUAACAUCAGACACUGGGUCUAAAAAUCACUGAGAUCAAACUUGAGUUGUUGCUCAUUUUCAACGGGUUUUGUAUUUGAUUAACAUUAAAAACCCUCUGGCCAUAGACCUCAAAUAAAUACCCCCUGCUGAUAUUAGCAGUAAAUGCAUAUAAUUUUAAUCAAGAUAAAAGUUAUUCUUGGGGAAGCUGGACAUUGAACACUGCAUCAACUGCUCAUAGUACUGCAUCUUUGGGCCCUUAAGCUUUCCUCAUUUUUUGCACGUUGCAGCACCAGCCUCUUCCUUACACUCUGUUGAGCACCAUGGGCACAAACUUUCCCUUACUGUCAGAGCAGGACCCCGCUGCCUUGCUGGUGGUGUGGUGCUCUGGUAUCCAAAGGGCUGUAUUGGCCAGGAGUCCAACCAUGUGAACACUUCGGGUUUUCUGUCAAUCUCUCCAAGAACAGGUGCCCAUCAUUUCAGUUUUCAAAACACCACUGCAUUCACCUGUUUAAUUCUGCACACCCAAUUUGUCUCUAGUUGCUUGCUUUCACUUAUACAUGUCUACUUCCUUCCUCCUGUUCUGUAUUCCCAGGUUUUGAAGGGCUCUGAUGGAAGUCAGUAUUGCAUCUCUGAGUAACAGAAACUUCUCCUUUUAAUCUGUGCCACCAGUUUCCUUGUGAUUUUGCUUUUGGAUGUUGUGUUGAGGGACGUGGUUUAGCGAGAACCAUUGGUGAUGGGCGAAUGGUUGGACUGGAUGAUCCUGUGGGUCUUUUCCAGCCUUAGUGAUUCUAUGAUUCUAUGAUUUCCAUCACAGACACGUAACACUUGCAUCUGUUCACUUCUGCAUGGAAUUGUUGUAUUUAUAAAACAGUCCAUGCAAAGCUACACACGCUUUGACUGCAGUGCCCCACUUCUAUGGACUGCCUCUAUCUCUACAAAGCAGUUUGUAUAUCACCCAGCCAUUUCUCUGAUGGUAAAUUCACAGUCAUUUCAUUUCUUGUAACUUCUUUCUCCCUCCUCACCCUCACCCCUGCCUCACGAGCUCAUUUUUGGUUUAAAUCAAUGGCUUUUUUU